UCAGAGGUGAAAUCCCAGAGCUUAACUCUGGAACUGCCAUUGAAACUGUUCGACUAUGAGUAUGAUAGAGGUAAGCGGAAUUUCUAGUGUAGCGGUGAAAUUGCGUAGAUAUUACAAAGAACACCCAUUGCGAAGGCAGCUUUCUGGAUCAUUACUGACACUGAGGAACGAAAGCGUGGGUAGCGAAUAGGAUUAGAUACCCUCGUAGUCCAUGCCGUAAACGAUGUGUGCUAGACGUUGGAAAUUUAUUUUCGGUGUCGCACGAAAAACGAUAAACACACCUCCUGGGUAGUACGACCGCUCGGAAUGAAACUCACAUGA
Molecule: ribosomal RNA, 321 nt
Filed under: uncultured bacterium
Lineage: Bacteria
Description: bacterial SSU rRNA
Rfam family: Bacterial small subunit ribosomal RNA
Source: RNAcentral